This 316-nucleotide small nuclear RNA is filed under the name Prolemur simus (greater bamboo lemur). Its description in RNAcentral is "7SK RNA (ENSPSMG00000009135.1)". It matches the Rfam family "7SK RNA". From Rfam's summary of the family: 7SK was discovered as an abundant small nuclear RNA in the mid-70s but a possible function has only recently been suggested. Lineage: Eukaryota; Metazoa; Chordata; Mammalia; Primates; Lemuridae. The record is from Rfam by way of RNAcentral.
GGAUGUGAGGGUGAUCUGGCCGUGAUAUCCAUCACCCCAUUGAUCGCCAGGGUUGAUUCAGCUGAUGUGGCUGGCUAGGCGGGUGUCCCCUUCCUCCCUCGUCACUCCAUGUGUGUCCCUCCUGAAGCUGCAUGCUUGGUCAAAGAGGAUGAUCUUCCUCCAUAGAGGAGGACCGUUCUUCAGUCAAGGUUAUACGAGUAGCUGCGCUCCCCUGCUAGAACCUCCAAACAAUCUCUCAAGGUCCAAAAUGGCCACAGGAAGUGGCAGAAGUUUCCUAAUUUAGGAAUGGCAAACUUCCUGGGGGUUGAAGGUCUAU